This 300-nucleotide unclassified non-coding RNA is filed under the name Hevea brasiliensis (rubber tree). The record is from RNAcentral. Lineage: Eukaryota; Viridiplantae; Streptophyta; Magnoliopsida; Malpighiales; Euphorbiaceae.
CAAUUAUCUGCAUCAAACACCACCACAGAAAACACACAAGCUUGUUUAAGGAUUCAUUCCAACAGUACUUCACAACUGCCGAAGCUAAGAUGUAACAUGUAAGCAGAAACAGAAAUAGCUACCAUAGUGGGUAAAUUAGCAUAAUUUAAAAUUCAAUAUCAUUAUAAACCAAAUUGGAGUAAUUUUGAUGGUGAUAUAGCUUUGGGUGGAUAGAGAAAGUCAGGAUAGCAUACUGCAAAUGUUUUCUUUCUUCAAAUUUAUAUUGGCUUUUCAUUUUACUUUGUGAUACCAUAAUCAAAG